CAUGCGGUACAUAAAUAUAUAGUUUUUUGAGGACCGUCUUUGAAUAAAAAUUUCUUAAAUGAAUGUACCCAAAAAAGAAUUCUUAAAUGAAGUUUCUUCUACCUUUGUUUUUUGUUGACAUGUUAGUUCUACCUACUACCGCUCUAAAUUUAUUCAAACAACGUGUAAAACUAUAUUUUUUUGGUGACUAUAAAAAAAACUAUUUAAUUACAAAAUUGUCAUUUUUGUUUUGUUUUUAGUAUCAGUAUUCAACCCACUAGAUUGCCUAAUUUGGUUCGUAGGUUAUUUUUGACAUCAAGUGGUUCCA
Molecule: long non-coding RNA, 307 nt
Filed under: Trifolium pratense (red clover)
Lineage: Eukaryota; Viridiplantae; Streptophyta; Magnoliopsida; Fabales; Fabaceae
Description: long non-coding RNA (TPRA_LNC005523)
Source: RNAcentral